Molecule: non-coding RNA, 178 nt
Filed under: Zymoseptoria tritici
Lineage: Eukaryota; Fungi; Ascomycota; Dothideomycetes; Mycosphaerellales; Mycosphaerellaceae
Source: RNAcentral
UAGGAAAGUCUACUACUGUUUUAUAAAUAUUGCUAUGUCAUUAUUAGUGGGGUAAAAACCUUGGUAUUAUACAGAAAAUAUAUUAAGUUAUACGUACUCGCAAAGCGCCACGUAUUAAAUAAAAAGCCAAUAUUCAGUAUUUUUUUAGUAAUAUAAACACCUACAUAAAUUAGCUUAU